GACAGAGGCCUCAAGCGUUAGGCGGAAUCACUGGGCUUAAAGCGUGUGUAGGCGGAUCGUUAAGUGCCUUGUGAAAUCCCACGGCUCAACCGUGGAACUGCUCGGCAUACUGGCGGUCUUGAGCCAUCUAGGGGUCGCUGGAACAAACGGUGGAGCGGUGAAAUGCGUAGAUAUCGUUUGGAACGCCUAUGGUGAAAACAGGCGACUGGGGAUGUGCUGACGCUGAGACACGAAAGCCAGGGGAGCAAACGGG
Molecule: ribosomal RNA, 253 nt
Filed under: uncultured bacterium
Lineage: Bacteria
Description: partial 16S ribosomal RNA
Rfam family: Bacterial small subunit ribosomal RNA
Source: RNAcentral